This 207-nucleotide unclassified non-coding RNA is filed under the name Hevea brasiliensis (rubber tree). The record is from RNAcentral. Lineage: Eukaryota; Viridiplantae; Streptophyta; Magnoliopsida; Malpighiales; Euphorbiaceae.
GGCUGUGAGACGGCUGGAUGUGGAGGUGUAGUAUGUUUGUACUGGGAAGUCCUUUUACAACUUAAACACUAUAAUAUAAAUAUUCAUGAGUGAUCCCUAAUUCUUAAGGGAAAAUCGCUCUUUCUACAAUUUCAUCCACAUUUGUCAUAUACUUUUCAUGGAUGAGUUUAAAAAAGAUGUUUAUUUCUCAAUUAAGCAUUGUCAAAG